GUUCGGAGCCCAAGUCUGACGCUCACAUGCGUUGGCUUCCAGAUCUGGACUUUGUCGGGAACGUCACUUUCUUUGCAACGGUGGCCCAGUCCCGGAAAGUUUUCUGGGUGAGGCAUCCUGCGAGAAAAUUGAAAGUCAUCCUUGACGUCGCCUGAUCCUCAAUUAGUCCUCAAUCUGCAAUAAAAACUUUCUUUUAGUUA
Molecule: long non-coding RNA, 200 nt
Organism: Homalodisca vitripennis (glassy-winged sharpshooter)
Lineage: Eukaryota; Metazoa; Arthropoda; Insecta; Hemiptera; Cicadellidae
Exons: 2
Source: RefSeq, a predicted model, not a curated record